RNAcentral lists this unclassified non-coding RNA (1120 nucleotides) under Hevea brasiliensis (rubber tree). The record is from RNAcentral. Lineage: Eukaryota; Viridiplantae; Streptophyta; Magnoliopsida; Malpighiales; Euphorbiaceae.
CUAAUUGCCUAUGACAAGCACAACCUUUUCUUUUUGUUCAGUUUUCUCUCAUAUUAACUAUCAAUAGAAAAAUAUGGCAUUCAUGUAGAUCCCAAUAUUUUCAGUCAUUUGUUAAACAAAAUCCAUUUGAUUUUUAAUGUUGUUAAUAAACAACAGAAAAAAUAAGUGAUUUUUCCAGAAAAUGUUUUCCUUGUAAAAUAUUUUCCACAAAGUGACCAUAGCCUAAAAUUGAAGAUUUUUUUUCACCUCAAUUAAAGUUAUUCAAAUAUAAAAAUAUAAUGGAACAUCAAAGAUCAACAUGUACUCCUAGUCGUCCAUGGAUACAACAUCUAUCUUGCUGAAAACAAGAAGGUAAACAAUACACAUACAAUAAAUAGUAAAAGCUGCAUGUAUUUCUUUUCAAGUAAAAAUGUGAAUAUAAAUUCUCAAGCAAGGUGCAGGUUGGUUUAAUUGCCACAUUAAACCAAACUAGAAAACCAAUGCUGUUUUUUCACUAUCAUAGCCCAAUAUUGAAACAAACCUAAGAAGCAGAAUGACUCAAUUUUCUGCUUUAUUUUGAUUAAACUAGUUGAGAAACUCCAAAAAUUCAGCAUUGAAUGCAUACCCUCCUAGCAUACAUGGGCAUCUUUCUUAUAGAAUGCAAUGUUGCCAGAUGUAAACAAUACACCAUUUAAUCUCCAUUAAAGCCUUAGAUGGGAAAGACUGAUGGCUCAAAAGGAUUUAAUGAAUUGAGGGAGAAAAGAUUGAAGUAUAGCAUCAACCCUGCAUUUGGCACUAUCCAUUUAUGAAAACUGGUUACAAAUAAGGAUCUUUGCUUUGCUACAUUUUAUUAUGAUAGCCAAAACUAAAAUGAUUCAAGCCAACAUGAUAAAGUCACAGGAUUAUUUCCUUAAGCCUCUUCAAACUAAAUGGCAAGAUAAACAUAUAGAAUUCACGUAGUUUUGAUGAAUACCAGAAUAACAUAGAAGAAAAGGGCAAAUUCCGGCAUGCUCUAUAAUGAAUCCUAAAAAUAUUCUCUGAUCUACUUUUGCAUUAAUUUGAAGGUAAAUCAUGACCUCAAACCAAUAAUCAAUACCCAAUUCAUCAUGCUUCACAUUCAGCACAAGAUGGUACUUCAUAA